This 465-nucleotide ribosomal RNA is filed under the name uncultured bacterium. RNAcentral's name for it is "partial 16S ribosomal RNA". It matches the Rfam family "Bacterial small subunit ribosomal RNA", at positions 338 to 795 of the family's 1533-position model. The record is from RNAcentral.
CCUACGGGAGGCAGCAGUAGGGAAUUUUCGUCAAUGGGCGCAAGCCUGAACGAGCGAUGCCGCGUGAGUGAAGAAGGCCUUCGGGUCGUAAAGCUCUGUUGCGGGGGAAAAAAGGAGGCAUCAGGAAAUGGGUGCUGACUGAUGGUGCCCCUCAGGAAAGUCACGCCUAAAUACGUGCCAGCAGCCGCGGUAAUACGUAGGUGGCGUGCGUUAUCCGGAAGGAUUGGGAGGAAAGGGUGCGCAGGCGGUCCUGCAAGUCUGGAGUGAAACGCAUGAGCUCAACUCAUGCAUGGCGUUGGAAACGGGAGGACUGGAGAGCAGGAGAGGGCGGUGGAACUCCAGGUGUAGCGGUAAAAUGCGUAGAUAUAUGGAAGAACACCAGUGGCGAAGGCGGCCGCCUGGCCUGUUGCUGACGCUGAGGCACGAAAGCGUGGGGAGCAAACAGGAUUAGAUACCCGAGUAGUC